UGCAGUCGAGCGCACCUUUCGGGGUGAGCGGCGGACGGGUUAGUAACGCGUGGGAAUAUACCCUUUGGUACGGAAUAGCCUCUGGAAACGGAGAGUAAUACCGUAUGAGCCCUUCGGGGGAAAGAUUUAUCGCCAAAGGAUUAGCCCGCGUUAGAUUAGGUAGUUGGUGGGGUAAUGGCCUACCAAGCCUACGAUCUAUAGCUGGUUUUAGAGGAUGAUCAGCAACACUGGGACUGAGACACGGCCCAGACUCCUACGGGAGGCAGCAGUGGGGAAUCUUGGACAAUGGGCGCAAGCCUGAUCCAGCCAUGCCGCGUGAGUGAUGAAGGCCUUAGGGUCGUAAAGCUCUUUCGCCUGUGAAGAUAAUGACGGUAGCAGGUAAAGAAACCCCGGCUAACUCCGUGCCAGCAGCCGCGGUAAUACGGAGGGGGUUAGCGUUGUUCGGAAUUACUGGGCGUAAAGCGCACGUAGGCGGACUGGAAAGUAUGGGGUGAAAUCCCAGGGCUCAACCCUGGAACUGCCUCAUAAACUAUCAGUCUAGAGUUCGAGAGAGGUGAGUGGAAUUCCGAGUGUAGAGGUGAAAUUCGUAGAUAUUCGGAGGAACACCAGUGGCGAAGGCGGCUCACUGGCUCGAUACUGACGCUGAGGUGCGAAAGUGUGGGGAGCAAACAGGAUUAGAUACCCUGGUAGUCCACACCGUAAACGAUGAAUGCCAGUCGUCGGGUAGCAUGCUAUUCGGUGACACACCUAACGGAUUAAGCAUUCCGCCUGGGGAGUACGGUCGCAAGAUUAAAACUCAAAGGAAUUGA
This 809-nucleotide ribosomal RNA is filed under the name bacterium W15M13. RNAcentral describes it as "bacterial SSU rRNA". It matches the Rfam family "Bacterial small subunit ribosomal RNA", at positions 56 to 913 of the family's 1533-position model. The record is from RNAcentral.